Long non-coding RNA from Wasmannia auropunctata (little fire ant), 349 nucleotides. RefSeq lists it as uncharacterized. The record is from RefSeq and is a predicted model, not a curated record. NCBI's taxonomy places the organism in Eukaryota, Metazoa, Arthropoda, Insecta, Hymenoptera, Formicidae. The transcript has 3 exons.
UGGAACGUCAUUUCGUGACAAGUCCAAACGGAUGAUCCAGCAAUCCUCUGUAUCGUUUGGUAAAUCGUUUUCAUCAUUGGUGCCCAAACUGUGAAAUUUUGGGGGGAGCCUGAGAGAAUAGCCCUAAAAAAACGAUCAAUUGCGUCAGGGUCAAGUGAAGGAAACGAACAGCAAAUGAGAAAUUGUGGAUACAAUUGAAGAGAAUUCAACGAUUGAAAUGACGAAGGUUUCCACGAAGGAAGACAUAAGUGCCAAAUUUGCCGUAAUGUUUCUUUAUGAAGAGAAUCAAAAGAAAAUCGAAAGAAAAAUAUAAUUUACCCGGUUGGAGAUCCGCCGUAGGCAGUGGCUA